AACGCGAAGAACCUUACCAGGCCUUGACAUGGGGAGUAUGGAUAGCAGAAAAGUUAUCCUUCAGUUUGGCUGGCUCCCACACAGGUGCUGCAUGGCUGUCGUCAGCUCGUGUCGUGAGAUGUUGGGUUAAGUCCCGCAACGAGCGCAACCCUCAUCCUUAGUUGCCAACACAUUAUGGUGGGAACUCUAAGGAAACUGCCGGUGAUAAGCCGGAGGAAGGUGGGGAUGACGUCAAGUCUUCAUGGCCCUUACGGCCUGGGCUACACACGUGCUACAAUGGCGGUGACAAUGGGCAGCCAACUCGCGAGAGUGAGCUAAUCCCAAAAAGCCGUCUCAGUUCGGAUUGCACUCUGCAACUCGAGUGCAUGAAGCUGGAAUCGCUAGUAAUCGUAGAUCAGCAUGCUACGGUGAAUACGUUCCCGGGCCUUGUACACACCGCGUGUCU
RNAcentral lists this ribosomal RNA (445 nucleotides) under uncultured bacterium. RNAcentral's name for it is "bacterial SSU rRNA". It matches the Rfam family "Bacterial small subunit ribosomal RNA", at positions 958 to 1399 of the family's 1533-position model. The record is from RNAcentral.